Molecule: ribosomal RNA, 440 nt
Filed under: uncultured bacterium
Lineage: Bacteria
Description: partial 16S ribosomal RNA
Rfam family: Bacterial small subunit ribosomal RNA
Source: RNAcentral
CCUACGGGAGGCAGCAGUGGGGAAUAUUGCACAAUGGGGGAAACCCUGAUGCAGCGAAGCCGCGUGAGUGAAGAAGGAUUUCUGUAUGUAAAGCUCUAUCAGCAGGGGAGAAAAUGACGGUACCUGAUUAAGAAGCCCCGGGUAACUACGUGCCAGCAGCCGCGGUAAUACGUCGGGGGCAAGCGUUAUUCGGAUUUACUGGGUGUAAAGGGAGCGUAGACGGCAGCACAGGUCUGGAGUGAAAGGCCGGGGCUUAACCCCGGAACUGCUGUGGAAACUGGGCAGCUAGAGUGCAGGAGAGGUAAGUGGAAUUCCUGGUGUAGCGGUGAAAUGCGUAGAUAUUAGGAGGAACACCAGUGGCGAAGGCGGCUUACUGGACUGUAACUGACGUUGAGGCUCGAAAGCGUGGGGAGCAAACAGGAUUAGAUACCCUUGUAGUC